GCCCGGUGGGCUCCGUCGGUAGAGCACGCGACUCUUGAUCUCGGGGUUGUGAGUUCGAGCCCCACGUUGGGUG
This 73-nucleotide transfer RNA is filed under the name Mustela putorius furo (domestic ferret). It matches the Rfam family "tRNA". Rfam says of the family: Transfer RNA (tRNA) molecules are approximately 80 nucleotides in length. The record is from Rfam by way of RNAcentral. Lineage: Eukaryota; Metazoa; Chordata; Mammalia; Carnivora; Mustelidae.